This 459-nucleotide ribosomal RNA is filed under the name uncultured bacterium. RNAcentral describes it as "partial 16S ribosomal RNA". It matches the Rfam family "Bacterial small subunit ribosomal RNA", at positions 338 to 795 of the family's 1533-position model. The record is from RNAcentral.
UCUACGGGUGGCAGCAGUGAGGAAUAUUGGUCAAUGGUCGGGAGACUGAACCAGCCAAGCCGCGUGAGGGAUGAAGGUACAGAGUAUCGUAAACCUCUUUUGUCAGGGAACAAAGGCGGGGACGUGUCCCCGGAUGAGUGUACCUGAAGAAAAAGCAUCGGCUAACUCCGUGCCAGCAGCCGCGGUAAUACGGAGGAUGCGAGCGUUAUCCGGAUUUAUUGGGUUUAAAGGGUGCGUAGGCGGUCUGUUAAGUCAGCGGUCAAAGCCCGGGGCUCAACCCCGCCCCGCCGUUGAAACUGGCAGUCUUGAGUUGGAGAGAGGUAUGCGGAAUGCGCGGUGUAGCGGUGAAAUGCAUAGAUAUCACGAAGAACUCCGAUUGCGAAGGCAGCCUACUAAACUGCCACUGACAUUGAUGCUCGAAAGUGUGGGUAUCAAACAGGAUUAGAUACCCCUGUAGUC